GAUGAAUAGGGUGGUUUCCGGUGUAGUCACAUUGGCGUUUGUGGCUUGGACCGGUGAUUGGCUAUUUUUCCCACAGAUUAUUAGGAAUGGGUUAGACCAGAAAGCCAUUAACGAGUACUACGUUAUGGUAGAUUUGGUCAAAGAUAGGCUGCUGCCAGUUUUGGGAAUUUAAAUUUUGUUGUUAUAAGUACCCGUAUUGGGAUGGAGUUAGAUCCACACUGUUGUAGAGUAAUUCUUUAAAUUCAGCAUUUCCCACGCUAUAUAAUAUCAUAAUAUGAAAUUAC
This 284-nucleotide unclassified non-coding RNA is filed under the name Hevea brasiliensis (rubber tree). Lineage: Eukaryota; Viridiplantae; Streptophyta; Magnoliopsida; Malpighiales; Euphorbiaceae. The record is from RNAcentral.